RNAcentral lists this microRNA (22 nucleotides) under Oryza sativa (Asian cultivated rice). RNAcentral's name for it is "osa-miR2118l". Lineage: Eukaryota; Viridiplantae; Streptophyta; Magnoliopsida; Poales; Poaceae. The record is from miRBase by way of RNAcentral.
UUCCUAAUGCUUCCCAUUCCUA